This 322-nucleotide ribosomal RNA is filed under the name uncultured eukaryote. Its description in RNAcentral is "partial 18S ribosomal RNA". It matches the Rfam family "Eukaryotic small subunit ribosomal RNA", at positions 1470 to 1796 of the family's 1831-position model. The record is from RNAcentral.
CCCUUAGAUGUUCUGGGCCGCACGCGUGCUACACUGAGUAAUUCAAUGGGUAAGGGAACGCUAGAGCAUUACCUAAUCUUGAAAUUUGCUCGUGAUGGGGAUCGACGGUUGCAAUUUUCCGUCGUGAACGAGGAAUACCUUGUAGGCGCAUGUCAUCAUCAUGCGCCGAAUACGUCCCUGCCCUUUGUACACACCGCCCGUCGCUCCUACCGAUUGAGUGAUCCGGUGAGGCUCUGGGACCUGGACGGAAAGAGCGUUUCGCUUGUUCUGUUUGGGAAACUUGGUCGAACCUUAUCAUUGAGAGGAAGGAGAAGUCGUAACA